This 497-nucleotide ribosomal RNA is filed under the name uncultured bacterium. Its description in RNAcentral is "partial 16S ribosomal RNA". It matches the Rfam family "Bacterial small subunit ribosomal RNA", at positions 28 to 507 of the family's 1533-position model. The record is from RNAcentral.
GAUGAACGCUGGCGGCGUGCCUAAUACAUGCAAGUCGAGCGAACAGACGAGGCGCUUGCUCCUCUGACGUGAGCGGCGGACGUGUGAGUAACACGUGUAUCACCUACCUAUAAGACUGGGAUAAUUUCGGGAAAGCGGCGCUUAUACCAUAGGAUCUAUUGCACCGCAUGGUUCGAUGGUGAGAGACGGUUUUUCGGGCUCGUCUAGAUGGAUCCGGGCCGCAUUGGCUAGUUGUUAAGGUACAGGCUUACCAAGGCAACGAUGCGUAGCCGAGCUGAGAGGGUGAUCGGCCACCUUGGAACUGAGACACGGACAAGACGCCUACGGGAGGCAGCAGUAGGGAAUCUGCGGCAAUGGGCGAAAGCUUGACGGAGCAACGCGGCGUGAGUGAUGACGGUCUUCGGAUCGGAGAAAUCUGCUAUUGGGGAAGAACAACUGUCUCAGGAAAUAUGGCCGUAUUGACGGUACUUAGUAAGAAAGCCACGGCUAACUACGUG